This 72-nucleotide transfer RNA is filed under the name Fusarium graminearum. RNAcentral describes it as "tRNA-Ala (TGC) (tRNA-Ala-TGC-2-1, tRNA-Ala-TGC-2-2)". It matches the Rfam family "tRNA". Rfam says of the family: Transfer RNA (tRNA) molecules are approximately 80 nucleotides in length. Their secondary structure includes four short double-helical elements and three loops (D, anti-codon, and T loops). RNAcentral also lists the same sequence under 16 other names. The record is from RNAcentral. Lineage: Eukaryota; Fungi; Ascomycota; Sordariomycetes; Hypocreales; Nectriaceae.
GGGGGCUUGGUGUAGGGGUAUCACGUUCGCUUUGCAUGCGAAAGGCCGGGGGUUCAAAUCCCUCAGCCUCCA